AACGCGAAGAACCUUACCUGGGUUUGACAUGCUGGGAUUAUCCCCAUGAAAGUGGGGUAGGCCCUUCGGGGUACAACCAGUACAGGUGUUGCAUGGCUGUCGUCAGCUCGUGUCGUGAGAUGUCGGGUUAAGUCCCUUAACGAGCGAAACCUUUGCCCUUAGUUACCAGCGGGUUAUGCCGGGGACUCUAAGGGGACUGCCGGUGUCAAACCGGAGGAAGGUGGAGAUGACGUCAAGUCCUCAUGGCCUUUAUGCCCAGGGCUACACACGUGCUACAAUGGGGUGGAUAAAGCGAACCUAAAGUGCGAACUCAUGGAAAUACGCAAAAAUACACCCCCCACGUUCAGAUCGGAGGCUGCAACUCGCCUCCGUGAAGUUGGAAUCGCUAGUAAUCGCGGAUCAGCUACGCCGCGGUGAAUGUGUUCCCGGGCCUUGUACACACCGGAGUGC
RNAcentral lists this ribosomal RNA (450 nucleotides) under uncultured bacterium. RNAcentral describes it as "bacterial SSU rRNA". It matches the Rfam family "Bacterial small subunit ribosomal RNA", at positions 958 to 1398 of the family's 1533-position model. The record is from RNAcentral.